This 468-nucleotide ribosomal RNA is filed under the name uncultured bacterium. Its description in RNAcentral is "partial 16S ribosomal RNA". It matches the Rfam family "Bacterial small subunit ribosomal RNA", at positions 28 to 507 of the family's 1533-position model. The record is from RNAcentral.
GACGAACGCUGGCGGCGUGCUUAACACAUGCAAGUCGAACGGAAAGGCCCUGCUUUUGUGGGGUGCUCGAGUGGCGAACGGGUGAGUAACACGUGAGUAACCUGCCCUUGACUUUGGGAUAACUUCAGGAAACUGGGGCUAAUACCGGAUAGGAGCUCCUGCUGCAUGGUGGGGGUUGGAAAGUUUCGGCGGUUGGGGAUGGACUCGCGGCUUAUCAGCUUGUUGGUGGGGUAGUGGCUUACCAAGGCUUUGACGGGUAGCCGGCCUGAGAGGGUGACCGGCCACAUUGGGACUGAGAUACGGCCCAGUCUCCUACGGGAGGCAGCAGUGGGGAAUAUUGCACAAUGGGCGGAAGCCUGAUGCAGCAACGCCGCGUGCGGGAUGACGGCCUUCGGGUUGUAAACCGCUUUCGCCUGUGACGAAGCGUGAGUGACGGUAAUGAGUAAAGAAGCACCGGCUAACUACGUG